AUAUGUUAAAAAAUGGUACAUUUGGUGAAUGAGAAAUGAAUUUUGUUUUGGCUAUUAAAUUACCGACUUAUUAUUGUUGUAUAUUUUCUAGCUUACAAUUUGCUCACAGAUAAGAUACUAUCAUCUAUCUAGCCUGUAUGUAAUCUUGUUUGAACUAACAUACCAAUCCUGUAAAUUUUAUCUGUAAACAUCUCAUUUCAAUUCAUUAUUAUUGGUGAUUUACACACAAGAAAACUAAGGUUCAAAACCUCAAAUUCAAGAAACUUUUUUCCACCAAUCUCUUAUGGAGUAGGUGCUAUUUUUACACAUUUUGGCAUGAUAAUUUAUAAAGAUCGCAAGUGUCCUAUUUUAGUUUUUUUUGUCAUUAUUUUAAUCACUAAUAGAUUUAGAGGUUGAAGGUGUAUUGCUGUUAGAUACAAAAGCAAACUGAUAAGCCUUUGCCAACAACAUAGAGCCAGUCCAGCCUUCACAUCCUGCAGUCUGACCAGGCUCUAUACUGUUGGCUGUCAGUCUUGAUAUGUUUAAAACUGAUAAUGGAUGGUUCCAAAAAAUGGAGGCUGGACAAGUCUAUUUAUGAAAUUCAGCCGGUUAAAUGUUAUAGAGCAUAUUAAGGGUUAAUUUGUUGAUGUAUGUAUGUCAAAUUAGGUGAGCUUAAUUAGUUAUACACAUAAAGUGUUCUUGUAUUUAUGAUGGGAUCAUAGAUUGUAUGGACCAAAUAUUGUUACUUUAUGUGUUCAGUUUAAAGUGUAUAUAUCAAUCAUGAUUAUACUCUUUACCAUUAUUAUGCAACAUGUUUUGUGUUCAGGGCAUUUGAAAUGGUGUCACAAGACAAGCUCACAUUUUAAUCAUCAUAACUUUUAUAAGAGAUCAACUAUUACCUAUCAGAAGCAUGUUUUGUUUUCAUGGGCUUUAGGUUUGUUAGAGGACUAUCACCCAUUUACAUUUUCUUCUCCUUAAAAUUAACUUGCAGCCAGUUGUUAAUUUAAAGUCUGAAUGGUACCUUUAGUAUAUGGUAGUUUUUCUUGUAAUACGUAGUACUUUUUUUUUUAAAUUAUCUAAAAGGGCUGGCUAGAUUUCAAUCAAAUAAUAACUUUAGUGAAAAGGUUUUGCUUUAUUCGAGAAUAUGACUUUUAAAAUCAAGCAAUUAUUUUCUUUAUUUUUACAUCUUACUGAAUCAGUAACUUAUCCACAGUUUUUAGUAGAGUAAGGGAGAUAAUUACAGAACAAAUUAUAAGUAAGCUUGUUACAGUGCAGUUAACCAAUUUUAAGUUAACCAUCACUUGAUAAUAUUUUAGUUUUAAUCAGUUUAUAUUCUCUUUAUACUUACUUAGAAUAGGUCAUUAUUAAUUAUUAAGUUGUGAGCAAGACAGAAUCAUUUUGACCUCUUGUGAUAUGAUAAAAUGAAGAGGCAAGUGAUUAAAACAUUAUUUCAUUUAGUAGCAUGAAGCCAUUUCUAGUUCUAGUAGUUUUGAAAAUUUGGAAAGAUUUUUUUUAUUUUCCUUUCCUCCUAUGCUAUGGUAUUUACUUUAUUAUUGAAAUUUCAAUUUUAUGGCACAGACUAGCAUCUUAUGGUUGCGGUAAGCAGUAAAUAAAUUGGUUAUUAAAAUAUGUUAUCAUUUUGUUAUGCAUUGUACAUCAUCAACAUCAUCACAUUCUUUUUUUUACAUUUAUCUACCUUUCUGGCAUUCCCAUUACAUUGAAUUGUUACUAAGAUUAUAUUGUCUAAAUUAUUGAAAUAAAAUCAAAUGCCUAAAAUAAA
Molecule: long non-coding RNA, 1759 nt
Organism: Ruditapes philippinarum (Manila clam)
Lineage: Eukaryota; Metazoa; Mollusca; Bivalvia; Venerida; Veneridae
Exons: 2
Source: RefSeq, a predicted model, not a curated record